CACGUAGGGGGCGAGCGUUGUCCGGAUUUACUGGGCGUAAAGAGCGCGCAGGCGGUCGUUCAAGUCGCGUGUGAAAGCCCCCGGCUCAACUGGGGAGGGUCACGCGAUACUGAUCGACUCGAAGGCAGGAGAGGGAAGUGGAAUUCCCGGUGUAGUGGUGAAAUGCGUAGAUAUCGGGAGGAACACCAGUGGCGAAGGCGACUUCCUGGCCUGUUCUUGACGCUGAGGCGCGAAAGCCAGGGGAGCAAACGGG
Molecule: ribosomal RNA, 253 nt
Filed under: uncultured bacterium
Lineage: Bacteria
Description: partial 16S ribosomal RNA
Rfam family: Bacterial small subunit ribosomal RNA
Source: RNAcentral